GACGAACGCUGGCGGCGUGCUUAACACAUGCAAGUCGAACGGAAAGGCCCCUUUUGGGGUACUCGCGUGGCGAACGGGUGUGUAACACGUGAGUAACCUGCCCUUGACUUCGGGAUAACUUCAGGAAACUGGGGCUAAUACCGGAGAGGAAUCCUUGCGGCAUGGGGGGGGUUGGAAAGCUUCGGCGGUUUUGGAUGGAGUCGCGGCUUAUCUGCUUGUUGGUGGGGUAGUGGCUUAGAAAGGCCUUGACGGGGAGCCGGCCUGAGAGGGCGAGCGGCGACAGUGGGACUUGGAGAGGGCCCAGACCUCUACGGGAGGAAGCAGUGGGGAAGAUUGCACAAUGGGCGGAAGCCUGAUGAAGCAACGCCGGGUGCGGGACGACGGCGUUUAGGUUGUAAACCGCUUUCAGCAGGGGCGAAGGUUGUAGUGACGGUACCUGCAGAAGAAGCACCGGCUAACUACGUG
Molecule: ribosomal RNA, 465 nt
Filed under: uncultured bacterium
Lineage: Bacteria
Description: partial 16S ribosomal RNA
Rfam family: Bacterial small subunit ribosomal RNA
Source: RNAcentral